GGGCCAGACUCCUACGGGAGGCAGCAGUGGGGGAUAUUGCACAAUGGGGGAAACCCUGAUGCAGCAACGCCGCGUGAGUGAAGAAGUAUUUCGGUCUGUAAAGCUCUAUCAGCAGGGAAGAGAAUGACGGUACCUGACUAAGAAGCCCCGGCUAACUACGUGCCAGCAGCCGCGGUAAUACGUAGGGGGCGAGCGUUAUCCGGAUUUACUGGGUGUAAAGGGAGCGUAGACGGUUACGCAAGUCUGAAGUGAAAGGCGGGGGCCCAACCCCCGGACUGCUUUGGAAACUGUGAAACUGGAGUGCAGGAGAGGUAAGUGGAAUUCCUAGUGUAGCGGUGAAAUGCGUAGAUAUUAGGAGGAACACCAGUGGCGAAGGCGGCUUACUGGACUGUAACUGACGUUGAGGCUCGAAAGCGUGGGGAGCAAACAGGAUUAGAUACCCCUGUACG
RNAcentral lists this ribosomal RNA (449 nucleotides) under uncultured bacterium. Its description in RNAcentral is "bacterial SSU rRNA". It matches the Rfam family "Bacterial small subunit ribosomal RNA", at positions 328 to 793 of the family's 1533-position model. The record is from RNAcentral.